GCGGUUUGCAAAACGCUGGUAAACUAUUGAUAUCGCGGAGCGCAAAACAACGUCGGUUUGCAAAAAUGUGCAAGAAAAUCAACGAGAAGAUCAGACUACGAAUCUGAGGGUCGGACGUUCGAAUCGUUCCGGGCGCGCCA
Molecule: transfer RNA, 140 nt
Filed under: Bradyrhizobium sp. WYCCWR 13022
Lineage: Bacteria; Pseudomonadati; Pseudomonadota; Alphaproteobacteria; Hyphomicrobiales; Nitrobacteraceae
Also listed under: 1 other name
Description: tRNA-Ser
Source: RNAcentral